Molecule: unclassified non-coding RNA, 357 nt
Filed under: soil metagenome
Description: partial contains 5.8S ribosomal RNA, internal transcribed spacer 2, and large subunit ribosomal RNA
Rfam family: 5.8S ribosomal RNA (bases 1-120)
Source: RNAcentral
GAUGAAGAACGUAGCGAAAUGCGAUAAGUAAUGUGAAUUGCAGAAUUCAGUGAAUCAUCGAAUCUUUGAACGCACAUUGCGCCCGCCAGUAUUCUGGCGGGCAUGCCUGUCCGAGCGUCAUUUCAACCCUCGAACCCCUCCGGGGGGUCGGCGUUGGGGACCUCGGGAGCCCCUAAGACGGGAUCCCGGCCCCGAAAUACAGUGGCGGUCUCGCCGCAGCCUCUCCUGCGCAGUAGUUUGCACAACUCGCACCGGGAGCGCGGCGCGUCCACGUCCGUAAAACACCCAACUUCUGAAAUGUUGACCUCGGAUCAGGUAGGAAUACCCGCUGAACUUAAGCAUAUCAAUAACGGAGGA